RNAcentral lists this transfer-messenger RNA (353 nucleotides) under Clostridia. RNAcentral describes it as "Thermoclostridium_A sp012728015 Standard tmRNA". It matches the Rfam family "transfer-messenger RNA". Rfam says of the family: Bacterial tmRNA, also known as 10Sa RNA or SsrA, is named for its dual tRNA and mRNA-like properties. Its role is to liberate the mRNA from a stalled ribosome. RNAcentral also lists the same sequence under 1 other name. The record is from RNAcentral. Lineage: Bacteria; Bacillati; Bacillota.
GGGGGUGUCUUGGUUUCGACGGGGUCGUUGAAACAGGAGAAGCGGGUAGUGGAUUCUCGUUGGCCACUUUAAAAAACGAGAGUAUAUAAUAAACGCUGACAAUAACAAGUUAGCACUCGCAGCCUAAUAUAGGCUGCCGUCCUGCCCAGGAGGACCACGGCCCGGGAUGGGGCGUCGACAGUGGUGAACGUGACACGGCAAAGCUUUGAGCCGUGCAUGACAAAUGAAGCUACUGAAGCUGUAAGCCUGUUCAUGGGCGUGCGGCGGAGGGAAUGUUAAAGCAUGAACUGCACCCGGAGAAGCUCUUGUGGAAGCGGUUUCGGACAGGGGUUCAACUCCCCUCACCUCCACCA